UGGUUGUGUACACCACUUAGAGAGUUUUCUGAUUAAGCAGUGUAUAAAUCUUUCUAGAUAAAAGUAGAAUAAAUAAAAAUUGCAUGCUUAGGAGAAUUGCCCCUCCCCCAUACAUAUGGCCAUGUCACGCCCACUGCCAUAGAUGGAACAAAGCUGGGAACGUCAACUGGUCCAAAAUGCAGCGACCAGAUAGGGUUCCAUUUAGAACUCAUAUAACCCAUAUUUUAGCACAGCAGCAUUGGUUGCCAGUUCAUUUCCGGGCCCAAUUCAAGGUGUCCACACUAGUCUUUAAAGCCCUUGAGAUCAGAGAGAGAGGGCUUUUUGGGUAGUUCUGCCGCCUUCAGAAGUUUGGGGGGAUGGUGGUGGCCUGGGAGAGGGCCUUCUCUGUGGCAGCCCCUAAGUUGUGGAACUCCUUGCUCACAGAGGUGUGCCUGGCACCUUCAUUAUACAGUUUUCAGCGAAUGUGGAAGAUACACUUCUUCAUCCUGGCUUGUAACACCUGAGAUGUAUAUUUUUGGUGAUGUGGUUUUAGGUUGUUUUUAACUGUUUUUAAUGAUUUAAAACUGUUGUUAUCUGCUCUGGGACUUUUAAAUAAUUUAAUACAUUUUAAUAAUUAGAAUAAUAAGCACUCAUAAUAAUCUGAGCUGUGUAUGGCUGUACAGUUAAAUUUAGCAUUGAAAAUAAGGAGAAAAGCACAUCAGUGAUCUCAAGUCUGAUUCUCAAGCGGUUGUCCAGGACACUGAGACCAAGUUAAUCUUGUGUCCUUCUAAGUCCAGGACCUUCUCCUCUGGCUGGCAGCUGCUUGUGAAGGACUCAGGAAGAGAGCAGCCAGUCAUGCCACUGGCUACCUGAGAUUCUCCUCUACUAAGUGGUGGCCUUCAAACAGCAGAGGUGCCCACCCUGUUAAGCCACUCCCAACACAACUUCCCUCAGCUCCGCCUACCCAAGCUCCUCCUUCCUUCUCCAUUCUUUCUCUGCCUCCAGAAGUCCUCCGAUCAGCCAUGAUAGGUAAAUGGAGCCUCCAUGUUCAGGCAGUCUACCUCUGGUUAUUGGGAACAAACUACAGGGAAAUGUUCUUGCUCUCAUGCCUUGCUUGUGGGCUUCCCAGAGGCAUUUGGCUGGCUCGUGUGACAAACAGGAUAUUGGGCUCAGUGGAAACAAAUGACUUAGCCAAUGAAGCAAACAGAGUGCAAGGCAAUGGCGGGAUCUGAACCUCAACCCCCUGUGAGGCCCUCCUGGAGAAGGGACACCUUAAAGGCUUCAGAGGCCAUGAUCUCCAAGGGGGGAAUAUGCUCAAAUCAAGCCAAACCAAGCAAGCCAAGUGCUGCUACUCACAAUGUGUUGAGUUUUCACCGCAGAUACAGGAUCAGGCCCCCAACUCUCCCUGCCCUCCCUGCGGUACCAUCACCGCUCCCUAGCUGGUGCACCCCAGUAGCCCCUUUGGUGUUUGGGGUGUGUCAGGUCCAGGGCUCUGCUGCUGGCCUCUUCGCAAGAUAGGACACCUGAGGACACCUCCUCCCAAAUCUGAGGCUGGAUUCAUACAACAGGUGCACUAGGAGAGCACACUGCUCAGGCACAAUGUCUCUACAACUUGGCAACUGCUCACGGCCAGCUGAAAAACUAUGACGUGGCAGAAUUUUACUACCAGCAGGCACUGGAAGCUUUUGUGGCAGCAGGUGACUCAUAUGGCGAGGCGCUGGUCUGCGAACAGCUGGGCACAUCACAUCUCUGCCAGGACCGCUUUGAUCAGGCCACCCAUUACUACAAACAAGCCCUGGGUCUGUUUGAAAAGUCAAAGGAAACAUCUGUAAUCCCCCGAGAAUGAAUUUUGGAGAAACUAGCCAAUGUUGCUAAGUAUCAAACUAACAACCAGGAUCAUAUUUCUCAAGACGAUGGAUUUGCAGAUUCAUCAACAGAUAUACCCAUGUAAUGAGGAUAUCGAGCCGUCCACGUCGUUCAUCGGAAUUUCUGGUGUAUUUUUUGUCUCUAGUUGAUGACACAUGGAAAUCCUCAGAUUAAAAUGUAAAU
This is a long non-coding RNA of Rhineura floridana, 2028 nucleotides long. RefSeq lists it as uncharacterized. Lineage: Eukaryota; Metazoa; Chordata; Lepidosauria; Squamata; Rhineuridae. The record is from RefSeq and is a predicted model, not a curated record. The transcript is spliced from 5 exons.